RNAcentral lists this ribosomal RNA (1195 nucleotides) under uncultured Pandoraea sp. RNAcentral's name for it is "bacterial SSU rRNA". It matches the Rfam family "Bacterial small subunit ribosomal RNA", at positions 276 to 1502 of the family's 1533-position model. The record is from RNAcentral. Lineage: Bacteria; Pseudomonadati; Pseudomonadota; Betaproteobacteria; Burkholderiales; Burkholderiaceae.
CAUUUCUGUAGCUCGGUCGAGAGGCGACAGCCACUAGACUGGAUAGGCCCAGGUCUACGGAAGCACAGUGGGAUUGGACAUUGGCGAAGGCUGAUCAGCAAUGCGCGUGUUGGAAGAAGCUUCGGUUUGUAAGCACUUGUCCCGAAGAAAUCUUGGUAAUACUCGGGGGGAUGACGGUACCGAAGAAUAAGCACCGGCUAACUACGUGCCAGCAGCGCGGUAUACGUAGGGUGCAAGCGUUAAUCGGAAUUACUGGGCGUAAAGCGUGCGCAGGCGGUUUUGUAAGACGGAUGGUGAAAUCCCCGGGCUCAACCUGGGAACUGCAUUCGUGACUGCAAGGCUAGAGUAUGGCAGAGGGGGUAGAAUUCCACGUGUAGCAGUGAAAUGCGUAGAGAUGUGGAGGAAUACCGAUGGCGAAGGCAGCCCCCUGGGCCAAUACUGACGCUCAUGCACGAAAGCGUGGGGAGCAAACAGGAUUAGAUACCCUGGUAGUCCACGCCCUAAACGAUGUCAACUAGUUGUUGGGGAUUCAUUUCCUUAGUAACGUAGCUAACGCGUGAAGUUGACCGCCUGGGGAGUACGGUCGCAAGAUUAAAACUCAAAGGAAUUGACGGGGACCCGCACAAGCGGUGGAUGAUGUGGAUUAAUUCGAUGCAACGCGAAAAACCUUACCUACCCUUGACAUGUACGGAAGUCUGCUGAGAGGCGGAUGUGCUCGAAAGAGAACCGUAACACAGGUGCUGCAUGGCUGUCGUCAGCUCGUGUCGUGAGAUGUUGGGUUAAGUCCCGCAACGAGCGCAACCCUUGUCCUUAGUUGCUACGCAAGAGCACUCUAAGGAGACUGCCGGUGACAAACCGGAGGAAGGUGGGGAUGACGUCAAGUCCUCAUGGCCCUUAUGGGUAGGGCUUCACACGUCAUACAAUGGUCGGUACAGAGGGCUGCCAAACCGCGAGGUGGAGCUAACCCCAGAAAACCGAUCGUAGUCCGGAUCGCAGUCUGCAACUCGACUGCGUGAAGCUGGAAUCGCUAGUAAUCGCGGAUCAGCAUGUCGCGGUGAAUACGUUCCCGGGUCUUGUACACACCGCCCGUCACACCAUGGGAGUGGGUUUUGCCAGAAGUAGGUAGCCUAACCGUAAGGAGGGCGCUUACCACGGCAGGAUUCAUGACUGGGGUGAAGUCGUAACAAGGUAACCA